Molecule: long non-coding RNA, 1683 nt
Filed under: Daphnia pulicaria
Lineage: Eukaryota; Metazoa; Arthropoda; Branchiopoda; Diplostraca; Daphniidae
Description: uncharacterized LOC124337460
Source: RNAcentral
AUUGAACUCGCGCUUGUGAAAUACAGUGCCGUCAAUCCCUUCUUAUCUUAUCUCCGUGUUCGCCUUUACUAGCCCAUCCUACAACUGACUGUAUUGUGCAUACCCAGUGCGUGGGCAAAUGUAGUUCAUCGAACCCGUUUCUUCACUUGUGUGGCCUAGGUCGGUGUCGUCGUAAUUCAUUGUUAGAUAAUUAGGCCCUCACAGCUGUAGCCCAACGACUUCCACUGUGAAAUUUCUAGGAGAAACACGACAAAACGGAAUGCAAAGUAAAAACAGGCUACACAGAAUUCUGAAAAAGAAAAACAAUAGUUUUGAAGGCGACAGUAUAAAAUGCCCAUUUUGAGAUAACUCGUUUUUGAAUGCUAGUUUCAAUCAAUCUCAUCGUACCCCUACAUGGAAAUUUGAGCUGAAAACUGAACAAUUUGUCCGAUUUUCAAGUCCUUUCCCCCUAGGAUUUUGACGUUCGAUGACGUGAUAACCAUGCUGAUGAUUCUCAGCCUUGAUUAUUUACAUAACAACAAUUUCCUGGAAGUGAAAUUAUACGGCGAAUUUCAUUUCGUUCCGCAGUGUUUUGUUUUUAGUCAUGUUUUAGUAGACCGUUCACUCUCAGCUUGCAACCGGUUUGAAUUGACAGCGGGGUUACAACGGUUACACGGUAUCUUACAGAAAAACUAAACACAUCUUCACGAACAGCAUCAUCUGUGGAGGAGUAACUUGUCAAAAAGUACCAAAAUACCUUGCCGUGUUUGUGUAACAAUUUAAGCCGUCGAUGGCACUUUGGCGACCACCACCAAAUCUGCAAAUGAUGGCGCAACACGGAAGCAAUAACGUCGUCAGCAGAGGCAAACAACAUUUUGAAAUUCUAGUGUCUCGUGUCCCUUUUUAAUUUUAAUCAUCUUAUUACAUUGUUUCGUCUAUUGCUAGCAAGACGAAGGAAAUCUUAUUAAUAACGUUGAAGUUCAAAUGAAGAAGCUGCUACGAGGCAAACAUCGCGCCAUGUAUAAUUAAGAAACGGUUCCGAUAUUGAUUACCUAUCGUAUCGUGUACAACCACUUUGGGGGCCUUUGGCAGUCUGCUAACCCCAAGUUAUUAACCUCGGAAUGCCGUCUAUAAUUACUAAACCUGAAACUAUCGAAUGGAGAACAAAGUUUUACAUUUUCCGAAACGUCAAACAUUCCUUGCUCUAAUCUACCUUCUACAUUGCAACGUAAUUUGACUUGUAUGUAAUUAAUGUUCGGAUAGCGACAAUGAGCAUUCUCCUUUUGGUGAAUUUUCUGAUCCAUCAUAAAAGUUCCCCGAUGGUGCUGUAAGAUACUAUACAGUGCAAAACCAUUAAUCACUAUGCAUCCGCAGAAACUGGUUUGAAAAUUCUGAUUGCUCAAAUUAUUUGGCAUUCAAUUCAUGUUAUGUUUAAUUUCCAUUUUAAAUCUGGUUGGCUAAGUUCGUUCAUUUCAAUUUUUCAGGAGAAUCAAGACAACCCCGAAGACAACAUUUAUUGAGAAUAGGUAAAAUAAUUUCUUAAAUAAUAAAAAAUUUCGAUUAUUAAAUGCCGGCGCAAAAACAUGAGACAGCGAGAGCUUAUUCAAUUGGAUUAUUUUUUCAGAUCGAUUCCGUAUAUGUAUGGAAGAGUUUAGGCUGAUACUACGAAGGCGGGAUAGAUUUCAAUGCCGCAUUUGUUGACGC